This 464-nucleotide ribosomal RNA is filed under the name uncultured bacterium. Its description in RNAcentral is "partial 16S ribosomal RNA". It matches the Rfam family "Bacterial small subunit ribosomal RNA", at positions 28 to 507 of the family's 1533-position model. The record is from RNAcentral.
GACGAACGCUGGCGGCGUGCUUAACACAUGCAAGUCGAACGGAAAGGCCCUGCUUGCAGGGUACUCGAGUGUCGAACGGGUGAGUAACACGUGGGUGAUCUUCCCUUCACUUCGGGAUUAGCCUGGGAUACUGGGUCUAAUACCGGAUAGGAGCCAUUUUUAGUGUGAUGUUUUGAAAUUUUUUUCGGUGUAGGAUGAGCUCGCGGCCUAUCAGCUUGUUGGUGGGGUAAUGGCCUACGAAGGCGGCGACGGGUAGCCGGCCUGAGAGGGUGGACGGGAACAAUGGGACUGAGAUACGGCCCAGACGCCUACGGGAGGCAGCAGUGGGGAAUAUUGCACAAUGGGCGCAAGCAUGAUGCAGAGACGUCGCGUGGGGGAUGACGGCCUUCGGGGUGUAAACUCCUUUCGCUAGGGACGAAGCUUUUGUGACGGUACCUAGAUAAGAAGCACCGGCUAACUACGUG